UGGGGAAUUUUCCGCAAUGGUCGCAAGCCUGACGGAGCAACGCCGCGUGAGGGAGGAAGGCUUUUGGGUUGUAAACCUCUUUUCCCCAGGAAGAUAGUGACGGUACUUGAGGAAUCAGCAUCGGCUAACUCCGAGCCAGCAGCCGCGGUAAUACGGAGGAUGCAAGCGUUAUCCGGAAUAAUUGGGCGUAAAGCGUUCGUAGGUGGUUUUGUAAGUCUGCUGUUAAAGCGUGUAGCUCAACUACAUAUAGGCAGUGGAAACUACAAAACUUGAGUGCAUUCGGGGCAGAGGGAAUUCCUAGUGUAGCGGUGAAAUGCGUAGAGAUUAGGAAGAACACCGGUGGCGAAAGCGCUCUGCUAGGCCGCAACUGACACUGAGGGACGAAAGCUAGGGGAGCGAAUGGGAUUAGAUACCCCGGUAGUCC
RNAcentral lists this ribosomal RNA (424 nucleotides) under uncultured prokaryote. RNAcentral describes it as "bacterial SSU rRNA". It matches the Rfam family "Bacterial small subunit ribosomal RNA", at positions 355 to 796 of the family's 1533-position model. The record is from RNAcentral.